This 497-nucleotide ribosomal RNA is filed under the name uncultured bacterium. RNAcentral describes it as "partial 16S ribosomal RNA". It matches the Rfam family "Bacterial small subunit ribosomal RNA", at positions 28 to 507 of the family's 1533-position model. The record is from RNAcentral.
GACGAACGCUGGCGGCGUGCCUAAUACAUGCCAGUAGAACGCUGAAGAGAGGAGCUUGCUCUUCUUGGAUGAGUUGCGAACGGGUGAGUAACGCGUAGGUAACCUGCCAUGUAGCGGGGGAUAACUAUUGGAAACGAUAGCUAAUACCGCAUAACAAUGGAUGACACAUGUCAUUUAUUUGAAAGGGGCAAUUGCUCCACUACAAGAUGGACCUGCGUUGUAUUAGCUAGUAGGUGAGGUAAUGGCUCACCUAGGCGACGAUACAUAGCCGACCUGAGAGGGUGAUCGGCCACACUGGGACUGAGACACGGCCCAGACUCCUACGGGAGGCAGCAGUAGGGAAUCUUCGGCAAUGGGGGCAACCCUGACCGAGCAACGCCGCGUGAGUGAAGAAGGUUUUCGGAUCGUAAAGCUCUGUUGUAAGUCAAGAACGGGUGUGAGAGUGGAAAGUUCACACUGUGACGGUAGCUUACCAGAAAGGGACGGCUAACUACGUG